AGUGAACGCUGGCGGUAGGCCUAACACAUGCAAGUCGAACGGCAGCACAGUAAGAGCUUGCUCUUACGGGUGGCGAGUGGCGGACGGGUGAGGAAUACAUCGGAAUCUACUUUUUCGUGGGGGAUAACGUAGGGAAACUUACGCUAAUACCGCAUACGACCUACGGGUGAAAGCAGGGGAUCUUCGGACCUUGCGCGAUUGAAUGAGCCGAUGUCGGAUUAGCUAGUUGGCGGGGUAAAGGCCCACCAAGGCGACGAUCCGUAGCUGGUCUGAGAGGAUGAUCAGCCACCCUGGAACUGGGACACGGUCCAGACUCCUACGGGAGGCAGCAGUGGCGAAUAUUGGACAAUGGGCGCAAGCCUGAUCCAGCCAUACCGCGUGGGAGAAGAAGGCCUUCGGGUUGUAAAGCCCUUUUGUUGGGAAAGAAAAGCAGCAGGUUAAUACCCCGCUGUUCUGACGGUACCCAAAGAAUAAGCACCGGCUAACUUCGUG
This 492-nucleotide ribosomal RNA is filed under the name uncultured bacterium. RNAcentral's name for it is "partial 16S ribosomal RNA". It matches the Rfam family "Bacterial small subunit ribosomal RNA", at positions 29 to 507 of the family's 1533-position model. The record is from RNAcentral.